UGGCCACAUUAUGUUGAAACACCAGUUCUCAUACAGUCACCAAAGUUAAACAACAUUGAGCCUGGUCAGUAUCUAGAUGGGUGACCACUUGGGAAUACUGUGUGCUGUAA
Molecule: non-coding RNA, 110 nt
Organism: Acanthosepion pharaonis
Lineage: Eukaryota; Metazoa; Mollusca; Cephalopoda; Sepiida; Sepiidae
Source: the annotation of a GenBank genome assembly